Molecule: long non-coding RNA, 1675 nt
Organism: Oncorhynchus tshawytscha (Chinook salmon)
Lineage: Eukaryota; Metazoa; Chordata; Actinopteri; Salmoniformes; Salmonidae
Source: Ensembl
GUUUAUUGACAGCAAGCUGGAGAAGUUCCAACCAAAUCAAUGCACCAUAGUACACAUGUCAAUCAGGAGCUCUCCUGGGGCAGUCCCAGCAGUUUUCUUAUAUACAGCUAUACACAGACAAAUUAUAUGUGCAUGAUUUAGCAUAAUUAAUUCAUCAUUACCGUUUUGUUUCAUUCAUGUGAAUGACAAAUGCUGGUUCUUAACAUGUGACAGACCAAUACCUCACGAGGCUUCUUCUCUCUGAGCUGAGACCUUGAAACUGAGAUAUCUUUCGUUCUCAAAACAAGGUCUGGGCGUACUGCCAAAUUGCAGAUACUGAUAGUGAGAAUUGGUUCAGUCAGUCACUUGCAUGAACACAGAAAUUAGUUAUAAGAAAAGCACAAACAUUUCAAUUCCCAUUACAUGUUCUAGAAUGUUGUUACAGGCUUGUCAUAGCAGAGAUGUUCUAGAAUGAUGUUACAGGCUUGUCAUAGCAGAGAUGUUCUAGAAUGUUGUUACAGGCUUGUCAUAGCAGAGAUGUUCUAGAAUGAUGUUACAGGCUUGUCAUAGCAGAGAUGUUCUAGAAUGUUGUUACAGGCUUGUCAUAGCAGAGAUGUUCUAGAAUGUUGUUACAGGCUUGUCAUAGCAGAGAUGUUCUAGAAUGUUGUUACAGGCUUGUCAUAGCAGAGAUGUUCUAGAAUGUUGUUACAGGCUUGUCAUAGCAGAGAUGUUCUAGAAUGAUGUUACAGGCUUGUCAUAGCAGAGAUGUUCUUAGAACGUUGUUACAGGCUUGUCAUAGCAGAGAUGUUCUAGAAUGUUGUUACAGGCUUGUCAUAGCAGAGAUGUUCUAGAAUGAUGUUACAGGCUUGUCAUAGCAGAGAUGUUCUAGAAUGAUGUUACAGGCUUGUCAUAGCAGAGAUGUUCUAGAAUGUUGUUACAGGCUUGUCAUAGCAGAGAUGUUCUAGAAUGAUGUUACAGGCUUGUCAUAGCAGAGAUGUUCUAGAAUGUUGUUACAGGCUUGUCAUAGCAGAGAUGUUCUAGAAUUAUGUUACAGGCUUGUCAUAGCAGAGAUGUUCUAGAAUGAUGUUACAGGCUUGUCAUAGCAGAGAUGUUCUAGAAUGUUGUUACAGGCUUGUCAUAGCAGAGAUGUUCUAGAAUGAUGUUACAGGCUUGUCAUUGCAGAGAUGUUCUAGAAUGUUGUUACAGGCUUGUCAUUGCAGAGAUGUUCUAGAAUGAUGUUACAGGCUUGUCAUUGCAGAGAUGUUCUAGAAUGAUGUUACAGGCUUGUCAUAGCAGAGAUGUUCUAGAAUGUUGUUACAGGCUUGUCAUAGCAGAGAUGUUCUAGAAUGUUGUUACAGCCUUGUCAUAGCAGAGAUGUUCUAGAAUGAUGUUACAGCCUUGUCAUUGCAGAGAUUUCCUAGAAUGUUGUUACGAGCUUUGUGCAUUACCCUGUAGCUCUGAAAUACACUUUCUAAUUGCAUUGUCAGUGGAACAAGUAAAGUUACCUCAAACUGCAGAGAAAGACAACAUAGUUACAUGUACUUUUUGGUCAGUACAGUCAGUUAUAUCAUCAUCACAUAGUUUGUGUUAUCAUGUUUAGCUCAGUUCUUCAGGUUCCACUUAGUCUGUAUUCUCUUGCCCAUUUUAGAGUCAGGAUUCAGGCAGAUAUAUUUUGAUGGUAUUUUCAACUGCACCC